Molecule: non-coding RNA, 103 nt
Organism: Podarcis lilfordi (Lilford's wall lizard)
Lineage: Eukaryota; Metazoa; Chordata; Lepidosauria; Squamata; Lacertidae
Source: the annotation of a GenBank genome assembly
GCAUGCUAUACUACCCUGAACAUGCCCAAUCUCGUCUGAUCUUGGAAGUCAAGCAGGGUCAGGCCUGGUUAGUACUUGGAUGGGGACCAUGCUUUUGCAUUUA